ACUCAAAUGAAUUGACGGGGGCCCGCACAAGCGGUGGAGCAUGUGGUUCAAUUCGACGCAACGCGAAGAACCUUACCUGGGCUCGAACGGCCGUGGGCAGGGGUGGAAACACUCUUUUCCCGCAAGGGACUGCGGCCGAGGUGCUGCAUGGCUGUCGUCAGCUCGUGUCGUGAGAUGUUGGGUUAAGUCCCGCAACGAGCGCAACCCUUGUCCUUAAUUGCCAGUCCCUUUCGGGGGAAGCACUUUAAGGAGACUGCCGGCGAUAAGCCGGAGGAAGGUGGGGACGACGUCAAGUCAUCAUGGCCUUUAUGUCCAGGGCUACACACGUGCUACAAUGGGCGGUACAACGCGCUGCAAACCCGCAAGGGGGAGCCAAUCGCUAAAAACCGUCCUCAGUUCGGAUUGCAGUCUGCAACUCGACUGCAUGAAGCUGGAAUCGCUAGUAAUGGCGCAUCAGAACGGCGCCGUGAAUACGUUCCCGGGCCUUGUACACACCGCCCGU
RNAcentral lists this ribosomal RNA (502 nucleotides) under uncultured bacterium. RNAcentral's name for it is "partial 16S ribosomal RNA". It matches the Rfam family "Bacterial small subunit ribosomal RNA", at positions 899 to 1397 of the family's 1533-position model. The record is from RNAcentral.